This is a transfer RNA of 84 nucleotides. It matches the Rfam family "tRNA". Rfam says of the family: Transfer RNA (tRNA) molecules are approximately 80 nucleotides in length. Their secondary structure includes four short double-helical elements and three loops (D, anti-codon, and T loops). The record is from Rfam.
GCCCGGCUAGCUCAAUCGGUAGAGCGUGAGACUCUUAAGUCCCAGUGCAUCUCAAGGUUGUGGGUUCGACCCCCACGUCGGGCU